This 1172-nucleotide long non-coding RNA is filed under the name Homo sapiens (human). Its description in RNAcentral is "long intergenic non-protein coding RNA 2669". Lineage: Eukaryota; Metazoa; Chordata; Mammalia; Primates; Hominidae. The record is from RNAcentral.
AGAGAAAUAGAGGUCACAAUCAUAUUUUCCAAGGCAAUUUUUGGCCCUCGGGGGAUUCACUGUUAUACUUGGAGGCCAUGUCACCUGAGAGUCAAUGGGCAACGAUCAAAUUUCACCUUGAGCAGAUUCUUUUGUUUGCUUUUUAGUCACAAAUAGCUUGGCCCUAAGUGGUGGCUCCCAUUCUUGUAAGAUGCGUUUAUUCAUCGUGUAAUCACCAGUUCCCUGUAGUGGGGGCGUGGAUGGAGUGUCAGAGGCUCCUGCUGGUCUUUAGGGUGUCUGGCCUCCAGGAAUCCUAGAGGUAGUAUUUGGAGAGAUUUUUAAAAGCUUUGUUUCUGUGACCAGCAAAACCUGGAUUUGACACUGAGGUCAGCCCGUUUCAGCCAGUGACGUAACCUGUCUUUUUGCCCCAGUAAAUUGGGAACUACAGCACUCGAUGUUAGAGUUGUCGUGAAGAUUAAAGAAGGUGACGACUGGACAACUCCCAGCCCAAUACCUGAAACUGUACCAGCACCCAGUGAGCACUGCUAUUCCUGUGACUGCUGCACAUUUGCCUUAUCUCAGCAGUAUGCCUGUGUCACUUUUUUGGCACUCUUUUCUCAUGGGUACAUUCAGAGAAGAGGAAUGUUUGUUCACUGGUGAAGAGAACAUCCCGUGUACUAUCGUGUAGAAGUUGUAGUAGACGCUGUGGUCUUUCCAACAACAAACAAAGGCUGAGAGCUCCAAGGAGCUGUGAAUCACACCUCCGACUCCCCCCAGGGUACAGGAACGGGGUUCAGAAUGCUCUUCCCAAAGCUGCUGGGACAGGACCCAGGAGGUUCCGGAGGAUCAGGAGGUCCACCUGGGAGAAGAGCUGAUCGGCUAGUAGGAGAGCUGGAAAAGCAACAGACACCUACUUAGUCCCUUCCCUGGGGCCCGGCUCCAGUCUGAGCUGUCACGCCACAGCAAAGGCAUCACUUCAGGACAGCAAAGCCCCUGUCUCCCUCCCUUCCAGCUCCUCAGACUUCACCCUGGUAACACGUUUGUUUAAAAAACAUAUUUUUCCCCCUUGUAAAGAAUCUAGGAUACAAGGGGUCAGCCCAGCAGUUUAGGUAUCAAGAAGAAACUGCUCUCGGAGCUAAAGUAAGAAACAGUGCCUGUCUAUAGCGCAAAUAAAGAGUUGGAACAAGAUAAAA